This 465-nucleotide ribosomal RNA is filed under the name uncultured bacterium. Its description in RNAcentral is "partial 16S ribosomal RNA". It matches the Rfam family "Bacterial small subunit ribosomal RNA", at positions 28 to 507 of the family's 1533-position model. The record is from RNAcentral.
GACGAACGCUGGCGGCGUGCUUAACACAUGCAAGUCGAACGGGAAGGCCCUGCUUGCAGGGUACUCGAGUGUCGAACGGGUGAGUAUCACGUGGGUGAUCUGCCCUGCUCUUCGUGGGAAGCCUGGAAGACUGUGUCUAUUAUCGGAGAUGAGCCAUUCUGCGUGUUAGGGGUGGAAAGAUUGUUGGGUGUGGGGUGAGCUCGCGGCCUAUCAGCUUGUUGGUGGGGUGAUGGCCUACCAAGGCGGCGACUGGUAGCCGGCCUGGGAGGGUGGACGGCCAACUUUGGGCUGGGAUAAGGCCCAGACUCCCUCGGGGGGCAGGCGUGGGGAAUAUUGCACAAUGGGGGGGAGCCUGAUGCAGCGAAGCCGGGUGGGGGAUGACGGGCCUCGGGUUGUAAACUCCUUUCGCUCGGGACGAAGCUUUUUGUGACGGUACCUAGAUAAGAAGCACCGGCUAACUACGUG